AACCAGCACCUCAAGUGGUCAGGAUGAUUAUUGGGCCUAAAGCAUCCGUAGCCGGCUCUGUAAGUUUUCGGUUAAAUCUGUACGCUCAACGUACAGGCUGCCGGGAAUACUGCAGAGCUAGGGAGUGGGAGAGGUAGACGGUACUCGGUAGGAAGGGGUAAAAUCCUUUGAUCUAUUGAUGACCACCUGUGGCGAAGGCGGUCUACCACGUAUAUACUGACGCUCAUGGACGAAAGCGUGGGGAGCGAACAGG
This 253-nucleotide ribosomal RNA is filed under the name uncultured archaeon. Its description in RNAcentral is "partial 16S ribosomal RNA". It matches the Rfam family "Archaeal small subunit ribosomal RNA", at positions 474 to 727 of the family's 1478-position model. The record is from RNAcentral.